UACGUAGGGGGCAAGCGUUGUCCGGAUUUAUUGGGCGUAAAGAGCUCGUAGGCGGCUUGUCGCGUCGAAUGUGAAAACUCGGGGCUCAACUCCGAGCUUGCAUUCGAUACGGGCAGGCUAGAGUUCGGUAGGGGAGACUGGAAUUCCUGGUGUAGCGGUGAAAUGCGCAGAUAUCAGGAGGAACACCGGUGGCGAAGGCGGGUCUCUGGGCCGAUACUGACGCUGAGGAGCGAAAGCGUGGGGAGCGAACAGG
Molecule: ribosomal RNA, 253 nt
Filed under: uncultured bacterium
Lineage: Bacteria
Description: partial 16S ribosomal RNA
Rfam family: Bacterial small subunit ribosomal RNA
Source: RNAcentral